Molecule: ribosomal RNA, 497 nt
Filed under: uncultured bacterium
Lineage: Bacteria
Description: bacterial SSU rRNA
Rfam family: Bacterial small subunit ribosomal RNA
Source: RNAcentral
AGGACGAACGCUGGCGGCGUAGCUUAACGACAUGCAAGUCGAACGAGAAUUCGUGGAGUAGAGGUUCGGCCAAUUGAAGCGGAGGAAAGUGGCGGACGGGUGAGUAACGCGUGAGGAACCUGCCUUUCAGAGGGGGACAACAGUUGGAAACGACUGCUAAUACCGCAUAACGCAUCGGAGUCGCAUGGCUCUGAUGCCAAAGAUUUUAUCGCUGAAAGAUGGCCUCGCGUCUGAUUAGCUAGUUGGUGAGGUAACGGCCCACCAAGGCGACGAUCAGUAGCCGGACUGAGAGGUUGAACGGCCACAUUGGGACUGAGAUACGGCCCAGACUCCUACGGGAGGCAGCAGUGGGGAAUAUUGGGCAAUGGGCGCCAAGCCUGACCCAGCAACGCCGCGUGAAGGAAGAAGGCUUUCGGGUUGUAAACUUCUUUUGUUGGGGACGAGUAGAAGACGGUACCUGACGAAUAAGCCACGGCUAACUACGUGCCAGCCGCGGC